CCCUUAGAUGUUCUGGGCCGCACGCGCGCUACACUGACGAAUGCAACGAGCUUAUAACCUUGUCCGAAAGGUCUGGGUAAUCUCCAAAUUUCGUCGUGAUGGGGAUAGAUUAUUGCAAUUAUUAAUCUUCAACGAGGAAUGCCUAGUAAGCGCAAGUCAUCAGCUUGCGUUGAUUACGUCCCUGCCCUUUGUACACACCGCCCGUCGCUCCUACCGAUUGAAUGGUCCGGUGAAGCGUUCGGACCGUGGCCUUUGGACGGUUCGCCGUCUGUUGGCUGCGGGAAGUUCGUUAAACCUUNUNAUUUAUNGGAAGGAGAANUCGUANCA
RNAcentral lists this ribosomal RNA (327 nucleotides) under uncultured eukaryote. RNAcentral's name for it is "partial 18S ribosomal RNA". It matches the Rfam family "Eukaryotic small subunit ribosomal RNA", at positions 1470 to 1796 of the family's 1831-position model. The record is from RNAcentral.